This 3015-nucleotide ribosomal RNA is filed under the name bacterium. Its description in RNAcentral is "23S ribosomal RNA". It matches the Rfam family "Bacterial large subunit ribosomal RNA". The record is from RNAcentral.
GGUCAAGAUACUAAGAGCAAUUGGUGGAUGCCUAGGCAUAUAGAGGCGAUGAAGGACGUGGCUAGCUGCGAAAAGCUUCGGGGAGGUGCAAACAACCGUUGAUCCGGAGAUGUCCGAAUGGGGCAACCCUAUCUGAUUAAUAUCAGGUAACUCCCGGUUGAAUAUAUAGACCGGGUAGAGUGAACGGGGAGAAUUGACACAUCUAAGUACCCCCAGGAAUAGAAAACAACCGUGAUUCCCAAAGUAGCGGCGAGCGAACUGGGAAGAGCCUAAACCUGCUUUAUGUUAAAGCCUGCCGGCGUUGUAUAGCAGGGGUUGCGGGACAUUUUUGGAGAGAUCGGCGGAUCUCUCGACAAGUCAAAAACCUGUUGAUUAUUCGAACAGUCCUGGAAAGGACUGGCCGUAGAAGGUGAAAGCCCUGUAGGGAAAAAUCUGCAGGCUUGUUGAAAAAUGUUCCCAAUUACCACGAUCCACGAGGAAUUUUGUGGGAAUCUACCGGGACCACCCGGAAAGGCUAAAUACUCCUAUAUGACCGAUAGUGAACUAGUACCGUGAGGGAAAGGUGAAAAGUACUCCUGACGGAGAGUGAAAUAGAACCUGAAACCAUUUGCUUACAAUCUGUUGGAGUCCCGACUUGUCGGGAUGACAGCGUGCCUUUUGCAUAAUGAGCCAGCGAGUUACUCGUAUGUUGCGAGGCUAAUCCAGACGGAGGAGCCGUAGCGAAAGCAAGUCUGAAUAGGGCGAUUAGUAACAUGCGGUAGACCCGAAGCCGGGUGAUCUAUCCAUGGCCAGGAUGAAGUUCCGGUAACACGGAAUGGAGGUCCGAACCCACCAGCGUUGAAAAGCUGGGGGAUGAGCUGUGGAUGGGGGUGAAAGGCCAAUCAAACUCGGCGAUAGCUGGUUCUCCCCGAAAUAGCUUUAGGGCUAGCCUUGCAUAAGAGUAUGACGGAGGUAGAGCACUGAAUGGGCUAGGGGCCUUACCAGGUUACCAACCCCAAUCAAACUCCGAAUGCCGUCCAUAUGUUUUGCAGGAGUCAGGCCGUGUGGGAUAAGCUUCACGGCCGAGAGGGAAACAACCCAGAUCGAUAGCUAAGGUCCCUAAAUACAGGGUAAGUGAUAAAGGAUGUGAAAUUACACAGACAGCUAGGAUGUUGGCUUAGAAGCAGCCACUCAUUUAAAGAGUGCGUAAUAGCUCACUAGUCAAGUGGUUUCGCGCCAAUAAUUCUCGGGACUAAUAACCUUGUUACCGAAGCUUCGGAUUCUACCGUUAUGCGGUGGAGUGGUAGGGGAGCGUUCCAUUAACCGUUGAAGGUCAAUCGUGAGGUUGGCUGGAGGACAUGGAAAUGAGUAUGCUGGCAUGAGUAGCGAUAAUUCCGGUGAGAUUCCGGAACACCGAAAGCCUAAGGGUUCCUGAGUAAAGUAAAUCUUCUCAGGGUUAGUCGGGCCCUAAGCCGAGGCCGAAAGGCGUAGGCGAUGGAAAACAGGUUGAAUAUUCCUGUACCAUCUGUAUAUUGUUUGAUCUAUGGGGUAACGCAGGAGUGAAAGGUCAGCCGGGUGUUGAAUGUCCCGGUUUAAGCAGGUAGGGGGACUGGAUAGGCAAAUCCGUCCGGUCAUAACCCCGAGACGCGAAUAGGAGUCCCUAGGACACAAACUGACCCUAAUCAUACUGACAAGAAAAGCCUCUAUGGUAGAUAUAUGGAUGUCCGUACCCUAAACCGACACAGGUAGGCGAGGAGAGUAUCCUAAGGUGCUCGAGAUAGCUCUGGUUAAGGAACUAGGCAAAUUUGCCCCGUAACUUCGGAAUAUGGGGUGCCUCGAUUAGGUGAUAUUUUUACUAAUGUAGCCGAAAGAGGUCGCAGUGAAAAGGUCCAAGCGACUGUUUACUAAAAACACAGGUCUAUGCGAAAUCGUAAGACGAUGUAUAUGGACUGACACCUGCCCGGUGCUGGAAGGUUAAAGGGACGUGUCAUGCCGACUUGUCGGCAGAAGCUCUGAACUGAAGCCCCAGUAAACGGCGGCCGUAACUAUAACGGUCCUAAGGUAGCGAAAUUCCUUGUCGGGUAAGUUCCGACCCGCACGAAUGGUGUAACGACUUGGACACUGUCUCAACCAGAGCCUCGGCGAAAUUGUAAUGCCGGUGAAGAUGCCGGCUACCCGCAGCAGGACAGAAAGACCCCGGAACCUUUACUAUAACUUGGCAUUGGAUUUUGGUUUUGUAUGUGUAGGAUAGGUGGGAGACUUUGAAGCGGGCACGCUAGUGCUCGUGGAGUCAACCUUGAAAUACCACCCUUAUAAAGUUAGAAUUCUAACCCAUCUCCUUGAAUCAGGAGAGGGGACAUUGCCAGGCGGGUAGUUUGACUGGGGCGGUCGCCUCCAAAAAUGUAACGGAGGCUCCCAAAGGUUCCCUCAGCACGAUUGGUAACCGUGCGCAGAGUGUAAAGGCAUAAGGGAGCUUAACUGCGAGACCUACAAGUCGAGCAGAUGCGAAAGCAGGGCUUAGUGAUCCGGCGGUAGCGAGUGGAAGUGCCGUCGCUCAAAGGAUAAAAGGUACUCCGGGGAUAACAGGCUGAUCUCCCCCAAGAGUUCACAUCGACGGGGAGGUUUGGCACCUCGAUGUCGGCCCGUCACAUCCUGGGGCUGGAGAAGGUCCCAAGGGUUGGGCUGUUCGCCCAUUAAAGUGGCACGCGAGCUGGGUUUAGAACGUCGUGAGACAGUUCGGUCCUUAUCCGCUGUGGGCGUAGGAGAUUUGAAAGGGGCUGCUCUUAGUACGAGAGGACCAGAGUGGACAAACCUCUAGUGUACCAGUUGUGCCGUCAGGUGCAGUGCUGGGUAGCUACGUUUGGUUUGGAUAAACGCUGAAUGCAUAUAAGCGUGAAACCGUCCUUAAGACAAAAUCUCCCUCCCGUUAAAACGGGACUAAAGGUUCCUUGUAGAUUACGAGGUUGAUAGGUCAUAGGUGUACAUGCCGUAAGGCAUUUAGCCAAGUGAUACUAAUAAACCGUGAGUCUUGACCAA